Molecule: unclassified non-coding RNA, 907 nt
Filed under: Hevea brasiliensis (rubber tree)
Lineage: Eukaryota; Viridiplantae; Streptophyta; Magnoliopsida; Malpighiales; Euphorbiaceae
Source: RNAcentral
GGAAUUCCGAAACGUGGCCACCUAGAAAAAGACCGCAAUUUGUGAGGCGGAUAAUAAUUUAAGCUCCAAAAUUUCAGUACCCAUGCCAAAUCAUGAGGACCAAGUUUCAGUGUUGGGAAAACUGACAAGCUAUCAGGCUUCAUUGCACCACAGCCAGCUGCAUCCAAGACACUUUGAUCACCCACAGAACAUAAGUUUGACUGAUUAUCAUGCAUAGGAAGAGAUGGCCUAAGCAGAAGAUUCCACCUUAGUGACAGAGAAGUUGAUCUAAACGGGUCAUAAACUUUUUCACGGGGCACUCCUUCACUGGGAAAUGCAAAUAAAUAAUGGUUUAAAGGAUUUCCAGAAUCACAUUCCCACUCCAUUAUCACUUCAAGACUAAAGGCCGGGGCCUCUAUGAAAGUAGAGGAAAAUCCAGAGGGGCACUUCAAAUUAGAGUUCUUCAACAAGCUCUCCAAGCUGCUCAGUAGAAUCUUGAAGUCCUUUGCAAAACAAUAAACACGACCAUCUGACUGCUGGAGUUCCAUAUACCCAGAUCUUAUCUGAAGCUUGUCAGACUUUUCAUAAGGAUCAGUACUGGCAAGAAUAUUCCAUUGGGACUCGGAAAAAUAUAAGGAAGUAUUUCCAUGAAUGUAGUUUCUCAUUUCAUCCCACCAUGGCAAGCUCUUUUCUUUUUUCAGUGGAGGAGGGUCUGGACUUGGAUUUCUUAUGCUCAAAUUGGCCCUACGCAUGGCCACUGUGAAAGCAUAGCUAAUAUCAGCAAGAGCUGGUUCAAACCCCACUCCAUAGGAAAUUUCUGCUUUCUGAAAAUGUAAGGGCAAAUCAGAGUAUGUUUUCAUUGGUGGAGUUGUCCCACUAGCAGAACGGAGCAAACGGACCUUCCUCCAUCUCCCAAUGUAUACAUUUU